GGCGGACGGGUGAGUAACGCGUGGGCAACCUGCCUUAUCCAGGGGGAAAACAGCCAGAAAUGGCUGUUAAUACCGCAUAAGCGCACAGCAUCGCAUGAUUCGGUGUGAAAAACUCCGGUGGUACAGGAUGGACCCGCGUUGAUUAGGUAGUUGGCAGGGCAACGGCCUACCAAGGCGACGAUCGGUAGCCGGCCUGAGAGGUUGAACGGCCACAUUGGGACUGAGACACGGCCCAGACUCCUACGGGAGGCAGCAGUGGGGAAUAUUGCACAAUGGGGGAAACCCUGAUGCAGCGACGCCGCGUGAAGGAAGAAGUAUUUCGGAAUGUAAAGUUCUAUCAUCAGGGAAGAAAAUGACGGUACCUAACUAGAAAGCACCGGCUAAAUACGUGCCAGCAGCCGCGGUAAUACGUAGGGUGCAAGCGUUAUCCGGAUUUACUGGGUGUAAAGGGAGCGCAGACGGCAAGACAAGUCGGAAGUGAAAUCCAGGGGCUCAACCCAGGAAUUGCUUUGAAAACUGUUUAUCUAGAGUAUCGCAGAGGUAGGUGGAAUUCCCAGUGUAGCGGUGAAAUGCGUAGAUAUUGGGAGGAACACCAGUGGCGAAGGCGGUUUACUGGACGCUAACUGACGUUGAGGCUCGAAAGCGUGGGGAGCAAACAGAAUUAGAUACCCUGGUAGUCCACGCCGUAAACGAUGAUUAUUAGGUGUUGGGGGCUUGACCUCCUCAGUGCCCCAGUAAACACUAUAAGUAAUCCACCCGGGGAGUGUGUCCGCGAGGUUGAAACUCAAUGGAAUGGAGGGGGUUCUGCACAAGCGGUCGUGCUAUUGUGUUUAGUUUGAAGCAACGCGAAGAACGUACUCCAUUCUUGACAUCGCGGUGUCGGAUCAUUAUCUGGUUCUUUCCUUCGGGAAUAGUCGAGACAUGCUGCCGCAUGGAGGUGUGCAGGUCGUGUCGUGAUAUGUUGGGGGAUGUUCCUCAUCGAUCGCAGCCUAUUUCUUGUGUCGCUAGCAUGUUAGGUCGCCACUUAGGGGAUAAUCCCAGGGAUCACCUUGUGGAACCGGGGGAUUUCGUCACAUCAUCACGCCCGUUUUGGUUUGGUUUACACGUAUCAGCCAUUGGUGUAAGCUAUGUGCAGCGAGCAUGCGGAGGGAAGCCAAUCCCAUAAUCAACCUUCCACUUCGUCAUGCAAUCUGUAACUC
RNAcentral lists this ribosomal RNA (1199 nucleotides) under uncultured bacterium. RNAcentral's name for it is "bacterial SSU rRNA". It matches the Rfam family "Bacterial small subunit ribosomal RNA", at positions 97 to 1313 of the family's 1533-position model. The record is from RNAcentral.